CUACGGGGCGCUGCAGUGGGGAAUCUUGGACAAUGGGCGCAAGCCUGAUCCAGCCAUGUCGCGUGAGUGACGAAGGCCUUAGGGUCGUAAAGCUCUUUCGCCAGGGAUGAUAAUGACAGUACCUGGUAAAGAAACCCCGGCUAACUCCGUGCCAGCAGCCGCGGUAAUACGGAGGGGGUUAGCGUUGUUCGGAAUUACUGGGCGUAAAGCGCGCGUAGGCGGACUGGAAAGUUGGGGGUGAAAUCCCGGGGCUCAACCUCGGAACUGCCUCCAAAACUCCCAGUCUAGAGUUCGAGAGAGGUGAGUGGAAUUCCGAGUGUAGAGGUGAAAUUCGUAGAUAUUCGGAGGAACACCAGUGGCGAAGGCGGCUCACUGGCUCGAUACUGACGCUGAGGUGCGAAAGUGUGGGGAGCAAACAGGAUUAGAUACCCUUGUAGUC
This 439-nucleotide ribosomal RNA is filed under the name uncultured bacterium. Its description in RNAcentral is "partial 16S ribosomal RNA". It matches the Rfam family "Bacterial small subunit ribosomal RNA", at positions 339 to 795 of the family's 1533-position model. The record is from RNAcentral.